GUCACUUGAUAAACAAACAACCGUGUGCUAGAAAUAUAAAUACCUAAUUGAUAAAUUAUAAAAAUGGAAGGUAAAAACCACCAACGGGCACCCAAUUAUACAUGUGACGAAAGUAUGGUUUUAUGUAACCUCGUAGACAAAUAUAAUUUCAUAGUUGAAAAUAAAAAAAACUGAUGGUUAGACCGUAGCCGAAAAACAGAAGGCUUCGAAGAUGCUGAGAAAAGAAUAAUAUAACGCCAACACCACUUAUGUACCCAGAACUACUGAGAAUUUACUGAUAUACCUAGAUAGCAAAGUUUUACACGCGUCUGUAGUUCAGACAGUGGAGCUCCAUGGACAAGACUGGGAAACGGUGUCGGCUGAUGUUAAUCUCCCCCCAGAGGAAUGCCAAACAACAUUCAAUAUUUUAAGUAAAGAAGCGAAACAAUCAUCAAGCAAAAUAAAACAACAAGCCAUAUUUUAAGAUUUAGGUAUAUAAUAUACAGUGGUAAUUAAUAAUAAUAAACAUGUUUUUAAAUCAACUGGUGUUUGGUACUGGUGACGCUAUAACCUUGCAAAAUAGUUAUUGAUCAGCGAAGUUCUUGCAUUGUUCCCAGACUGUAAGGCACGAGGAGGUUGGUCUAUAUAGAUUGUUGUGGUAUUUUUUGUAAGACGAAAGCUUUUAAUAAAUUCAUCAUCUCGAUAAGCACGAAACAAAUCUGUUAUUUUAGUAGUUAACCCUCCUAUAAAAGUAAGGGGUAUUCAAAUAUUCAAUCAUUUCUUUAUC
Molecule: non-coding RNA, 766 nt
Organism: Plutella xylostella (diamondback moth)
Lineage: Eukaryota; Metazoa; Arthropoda; Insecta; Lepidoptera; Plutellidae
Source: RefSeq, a predicted model, not a curated record